GUGGGGAAUAUUGCACAAUGGGGGAAACCCUGAUGCAGCAACGCCGCGUGAAGGAUGAAGGCCUUUGGGUCGUAAACUUCUGUUCUAAGGGAAGAUAGUGACGGUACCUUAGGAGCAAGUCCCGGCUAACUACGUGCCAGCAGCCGCGGUAAUACGUAGGGGGCAAGCGUUAUCCGGAAUUAUUGGGCGUAAAGAGUACGUAGGUGGUUUUCUAAGCACGGGGUUUAAGGCAAUGGCUUAACCAUUGUUCGCCUUGUGAACUGGAAGACUUGAGUGCAGGAGAGGAAAGCGGAAUUCCUAGUGUAGCGGUGAAAUGCGUAGAUAUUAGGAGGAACACCAGUGGCGAAGGCGGCUUUCUGGACUGUAACUGACACUGAGGUACGAAAGCGUGGGGAGCAAACAGGAUUAGAAACCCUAGUAGUCC
RNAcentral lists this ribosomal RNA (424 nucleotides) under uncultured bacterium. RNAcentral's name for it is "bacterial SSU rRNA". It matches the Rfam family "Bacterial small subunit ribosomal RNA", at positions 354 to 796 of the family's 1533-position model. The record is from RNAcentral.